Molecule: ribosomal RNA, 181 nt
Filed under: uncultured bacterium
Lineage: Bacteria
Description: partial 16S ribosomal RNA
Rfam family: Bacterial small subunit ribosomal RNA
Source: RNAcentral
CGUGAAGUCGGAAUCGCUGUAAUCGCGGAUCAGCAUGCCGCGGUGAAUACGUUCCCGGGCCUUGUACACACCGCCCGUCACACCAUGAGAGUCGGGAACACCCGAAGUCCGUAGCCUAACCGCAAGGAGGGCGCGGCCGAAGGUGGGUUCGAUAAUUGGGGUGAAGUCGUAACAAGGUACC